Molecule: ribosomal RNA, 273 nt
Filed under: uncultured bacterium
Lineage: Bacteria
Description: partial 16S ribosomal RNA
Rfam family: Bacterial small subunit ribosomal RNA
Source: RNAcentral
UACGUAGGGUCCGAGCGUUGUCCGGAAUUAUUGGGCGUAAAGGGCUCGUAGGCGGUUUGUCGCGUCGGGAGUGAAAACUCAGGGCUCAACCCUGAGCGUGCUUCCGAUACGGGCAGACUAGAGGUAUGCAGGGGAGAACGGAAUUCCUGGUGUAGCGGUGGAAUGCGCAGAUAUCAGGAGGAACACCGGUGGCGAAGGCGGUUCUCUGGGCAUUACCUGACGCUGAGGAGCGAAAGCAUGGGGAGCGAACAGGAUUAGAUACCCCCGUAGUCC